CAGCAGCCGCGGGAAUACGUAGGGGGCGAGCGUUGUCCGAAGUUACUGGGCGUAAAGCGCGCGUAGGCGGCUUCUUAAGUCUGAGGUGAAAGGUUCAACGCUUAACGUGAACAGUGCCUUGGAUACUGGGGAGCUUGAGUAUGGGAGAGGGCAGUGGAAUGGCUGGUGUAGCGGUGAAAUGCGUAGAUAUCAGUCGGAACACCCAUGGCGAAGGCAGCUGCCUGGCCUAAUACUGACGCUGAGGUGCGAAAGCGUGGCGAGCGAACGGGAUUAGAUACCCCGGUAGUCCCUGUCUCUUAUA
Molecule: ribosomal RNA, 301 nt
Filed under: uncultured bacterium
Lineage: Bacteria
Description: partial 16S ribosomal RNA
Rfam family: Bacterial small subunit ribosomal RNA
Source: RNAcentral